GAUUUAUGAAGUCUAAGCAAAGUAGUUUGCAGAGCAACAGAGUUUUAGCAGCUGCAGAAUCUACGAUUAAUACCAAAAGUUUUGUUGCACAGAAUAGAAGGUUAGGUGCAUCUACCCGAUUGAGAAUGCCAGCCACAGCCGAUGGCUGCAAGUUUGAAACUGAAAGAAAACCUUAUUCAAGGAGAAGUGAUUCCCUCUCUCCGGUGCGGAAGAAGAGAUUGAUGAAUGUCUCCAGACAAGGUGAAAGUUCUAGUUUUGUGAAUGCGAAUUUGGGAAGAGAAUCAAGCCCUUAUUCUGACAAAACAAGUAGAAAAGAUGUUUUCCCAAUUUCUUCCGUUAAUAGUCACUCCACUAAACCGAAGUUGCCAUGUUUGCGAGAGAGUGGUGCAACCAAUAAUAGUUCUGAGGGAAGUAAUGUUGUUUCUUUUACUUUUAGAUCUGCAAUGAAGCAGAAAGCUGGCAUUCAUGCAGAAGUCACAAAAAGGAAGUCUCAAAAUAGCUCAAGUUUUGAUGCUACUCCAGGGAGAUCCUUCUUUACUGGAAAUGAUGAAACAGCAUGCUUGCAGAAAUCCUUUCCUUUGAAAGGAGACAUUUUAGGAGCACUUUUGGAGCAAAAGCUAAAGGAAUUGACUAGUGAAGAAGAGUUCGCAGAAGGAGAUGCUGCACCUAGAAAAAGCACUGCAACGAUCCUUCAGGAGCUAAUAACUGCUUUGAAUGAUGAGACCCAAUUUCAUCUGGAUAGUUUGCCUUCUAAACCUAACAGAAAAGAAGAUUUGUAUGAUGAUCGUGAAGUGUCUUCAAGAAAUACUUGCAUGAAUUUCCAGCCCAUACCAGAUUCAGCAACCGAUUUAGUUGGGAAUUCACUUGAUAAUGAUCACCUUAGUCCAGGAUGUGUUCUUGAAGCUACCUUUUCAACUGACAGCUACCUCUCCAGCAGUCCCAAUAGUAGCUCAAAGGACAAAGUGCUUGCCGAAUCUAUGGACUCUAUUUAUGACGAACCACUCUUUCCAGAACCUGAUAGAGAUCUUUCGGAUUGUGCGACCUCAUUAUUCACCAGGAGGAGUUGCAGAGCACUGAUCACAGACCAUGUUAACAACAUUUGUGGAGUGCUAAGCAAGAUUAAUCAGUUAAAAGGAAGCAAACUCGGUUAUGCAAAUGAGGUCAUUUUGAAUACUGAACUCAUACUUGGAACCUCACCUGAACAACAGGCUUUACCUGUAGACGAUGGGUUAUCAGUGAGCCAUUUUCUCCUCAAUGAACUUGAAAUGCUAUCAAGUCUUCUAUGGAUGACUUUUGGUCAGUUGCUUGGCUGUAACGACCCCAAACAGAUGAAUCAGCUUAAAGGAUUUGCCUUUGAUUGUCUAUUAGAGUAUCUAGACUCAAAAUUUGGUCGAUACUCUGAUUCUGGUUUCAGAAUCUGGUCUAAACUACCAUCAAGCAUGACUAAAGAGAUUCUGAUUGCUGAUAUUAUUGAAGAGGUCAAAGAGUGGACGGAAUUUGUUGGGUUGAUCCCCGACGAGCUAAUAGAAUGGGAUAUGAGCCAUUCUUUGGGUAAAUGGACGGAUUUUGAGAUUGAAGAAUUUGAAUGUGGCACUGAAGUUGAUAGGCAUAUUCUCCAAGUAUUAGUAGAUGAAGUUGUUUUGGACCUCUACAGUUCUAGUUAAAUUUGGAUGGAACUGUUUGUAGCUCCUCUUUUUGCGAGUUUGUAGUAAGCCUAUCAGUGUUCUCUUUUGAUAACUCUGGCCUCAAUAAUUUCAAGUAAAAGUAUCUUGUACAAAUUAAGGAUUCUGCAUCUUAUUAUAUCCCUAUU
RNAcentral lists this unclassified non-coding RNA (1810 nucleotides) under Hevea brasiliensis (rubber tree). The record is from RNAcentral. Lineage: Eukaryota; Viridiplantae; Streptophyta; Magnoliopsida; Malpighiales; Euphorbiaceae.